GCUGACAAUACCCAAAAGGAAAGCCUCUGGUUUCUUAGUGAAAGUAUAUUUAAAUACCUUUUUCAAUUCAUUAUAAAUCAUUUCCCAGAACGCCUUCACUUUAGGGCAGGUCCACCAGAGGUGAAAGAACGUUCCUUCACACUCUUUACAUUUCCAGCACUUGUUAUCAGACAGGUGGUAAAUUUUUGCGAGUUUGACUGGGGUCAUAUACCAUCUAUAAAUCAUUUUCAUUACAUUUUCUUUCAAAGCAUUACAUGCAGUAAAUUUCAAUCCAUUACUCCACAGCCUUUCCCAGUCCUCAAACAUAAUAUUAUGCCCAAUAUCCUGUGCCCACCUUAUCAUAGCCGAUUUAACCAUUUCAUCUUGUGUAUUCCAUUCCAACAGCAAGUUAUACAUCCUUGAAAGUAUCUUAGUCUUUGGUUCUAACAAUUCUGUUUCUAAUUUCGAUUUCUCCACCUGGAACCCUAGUUUCUUAUCAUUUUUAAAAACUUCUUUAAUCUGAGCAUAAUGUAACCAAUCUCGCACUUUGUCUUUCAUUUUCUCCAAACUCUGCAAUUUCCAAUUGUCUCCAUCUUUUUCUAGUAUUUCCCAAUAUUUUGGCCAUUUGGCCUCCAUAUUGGGUCUUUUUCGGGCCUUAGCUUCCAAAGGUGAAAGCCACCUUGGUGUUUUAUUUUCCAGCAAGUCUUUAUAUUUUGUCCAGACAUUAAACAGUGAUUUUCUAACAAUAUGGUUCUUAAAGGCCUUAUUUGCUUUAACUUUGUCAUACCAUAAAUAUGCAUGCCAUCCAAAAACAUUGUUAAACCCUUCCAAAUCUAA
Podarcis lilfordi (Lilford's wall lizard) is the source of this 816-nucleotide non-coding RNA. The record is from the annotation of a GenBank genome assembly. Lineage: Eukaryota; Metazoa; Chordata; Lepidosauria; Squamata; Lacertidae.